UUGGAUUAAGCGUGGUGCCGUCACGCCAAUUGAACGAUUUCCCGUGAAAGAUGUGUUGCGCCUUCAGCAGUGGUUAAAAGAAAUGAAGAGGAAGGACUGGAAGUCAAACCGAAAUAGCACAUUGUGUUCAGCUCAUUUUGCAAAUGACUGCUUUGAUAGGACAGGAUUCCUAAUUACAUUGAAAAAGAACAGUGUACCAACUAUAUUUGACAACCCAAAAUCAGAGUGUUCAUCUUGUCACCGAUUAAGGGAAUGUGGACAUGGCUACUCAUUGUUCAAGUUCCCAUUGGAUGAACCUGAUAUUAUGAAGCAGUGGAUCGCAAAUAUAAACAUUGGACCGUGGUCUCCAUCAAGUGAUAGCUUUCUGUGUUCCGACCACUUUGAACCCUCUUGCUUUCAGAAGAAAAGUAAAAAUUAUAUAACUUUACCAAAAGGCAGUAUCCCAACGUUAUUUGGUGAAAACUUGCAGCAGACCGAAUUUCAGGAUGAAUCCGAUCGGCCCACCACAGUGAAUGUAACCAAAUUACAUGAUCACCUACACAUUUGUACCUGAUUUGCAUGCUCAGCUCCACUUUGAUGAUCAAUGGAUGGUAAAUGGAUUCCCUAACGGUUGAAUUAGUGUUAUACAAAUGUUUGAAUAAUCCGUAUGGAAUUCAGCCCACCAUAGGAUAAAGGGUAAUGGACGAAAACUUCUCAGAAUUGAGGACUUCUUUUGAACAUAAAGAAAAAUCACGCUUAAAUACAAGUUUUUCGUCAUAUUAUUUAAUGAUC
This 771-nucleotide unclassified non-coding RNA is filed under the name Neodiprion lecontei (redheaded pine sawfly). RNAcentral describes it as "tHAP domain-containing protein 1-like, transcript variant X3". The record is from RNAcentral. Lineage: Eukaryota; Metazoa; Arthropoda; Insecta; Hymenoptera; Diprionidae.